UUACCCACUCCUAGAUCGGGGAGGUAGUGACGAAAAAUAACAAUACCGGACUCUAUGAGGCUCGGUAAUUGAAAUGAGUACAGUUUAAAAGCCUUAACGAGGAUCUAUUGGAGGGCAAGUCUGGUGCCAGCAGCCGCGGUAAUUCCAGCUCCAAUAGCGUAUAUUAAAGUUGUUGCAGUUAAAAAGCUCGUAGUUGGAUCUCGGGUACUAGCAUUCGGUACGCUUAAUUGCUGUUACUGUUUGUCUAGUCCUAAUCAAUCGGUUGGCCAUUUAUGCCCUUUAUUGGGUGUUUUUGGUAGCCGAUACGUUUACUUUGAGAAAAUUAGUGUGCUUAAAGCAGGCUUUACGCCUGAAUAAUGUUGCAUGGAAUAAUAGAAUAGGACCUCGGUUCUAUUUUGUUGGUUUUGUAGAGCAUUGAGGUAAUGAUUAAUAGGGACAGACGGGGGCAUUCGUACUGCGGUGUUAGAGGUGAAAUUCUUGGAUCGCCGCAGGACGAACAACUGCGAAAGCAUUUGCCAAGAAUGUUUUCAUUAAUCAAGAGCGAAAGUUGGAGGUUCGAAGACGAUUAGAUACCGUCCUAGUUCCAACCAUAAACGAUGCCAACUAGCGAUUAGCUGCUGUUAAUUAAACGACACAGCUAGCAGCUUCCGGGAAACCAAAGUUUUUGGGUUCCGGGGGAAGUAUGGUUGCAAAGCUGAAACUUAAAGGAAUUGACGGAAGGGCACCACCAGGAGUGGAGCCUGCGGCUUAAUUUGACCCAACACGGGAAAUCUCACCCGGCCCGGACACUGUAAGGAUUGACAGAUUGAGAGCUCUUUCUUGAUUCGGUGGGGGGUGGUGCAUGGCCGUUCUUAGUUGGUGGAGCGAUUUGUCUGGUUAAUUCCGAUAACGAACGAGACUCUAGCCUGCUAAAUAGUACGCCGAUCUUUAGUCGGCGCGUACUUCUUAGAGGGACAAGUAGCGGUUAGCUACACGAAAUUGAGCAAUAACAGGUCUGUGAUGCCCUUAGAUGUUCGGGUCCGCACGCGCGCUACACUGAAGGGAUAAGCGUGUUCUUCCUGCUCCGAAAGGAGUGGGUAACCCGCUGAAACCCCUUCGUGAUUGGGAUCGGGGCUUGCAAUUAUUCUCCGUGAACGAGGAAUUCCCAGUAAGCGCGAGUCAUAAGCUCGCGUUGAUUACGUCCCUGCCCUUUGUACACACCGCCCGUCGCUACUACCGAUUGAAUGGUUUAGUGAGAUCCUCGGAUUUGUCCGGAAGUGGCCGCAAGGUUGCCUCUAGGUUCGGAGAAGACGAUCAAACUUGA
RNAcentral lists this ribosomal RNA (1303 nucleotides) under metagenome. RNAcentral describes it as "SSU rRNA". It matches the Rfam family "Eukaryotic small subunit ribosomal RNA", at positions 441 to 1768 of the family's 1831-position model. The record is from RNAcentral.